This 271-nucleotide ribosomal RNA is filed under the name uncultured prokaryote. RNAcentral's name for it is "partial 16S ribosomal RNA". It matches the Rfam family "Bacterial small subunit ribosomal RNA", at positions 524 to 794 of the family's 1533-position model. The record is from RNAcentral.
CACGUAGGAGGCAAACGUUAUCCGGAUUUACUGGGCGUAAAGCGCGUGUAGGUGGUUCUGUAAGUAGGGCGUGAAAGCUCCCGGCUCAACUGGGAGAGGCCGUUCUAAACUGCAGAGCUAGAGGAUGGUAGAGGGAGGUGGAAUUCCAGGUGUAGCGGUGGAAUGCGCAGAUAUCUGGAGGAACACCAGUGGCGAAGGCGGCCUCCUGGACCAUUCCUGACACUCAGACGCGAAAGCUAGGGCAGCAAACGGGAUUAGAUACCCGUGUAGU